CUGGCCCCGAUGAAAAGAUUUAGGAACUUUGGCCGCUCAAAAAGUCGCAUCCAUUUCAGACAUCCAGAAGGGACCCCAGAAGUGGCACCUGCCCCACACGGGGACAUCUGGAAGAGUGGUUUCCGGCCGCCCUGGGGCUGUACAGAGUAAGCCACUCGAGGACUAAGGACCCUUCGUCGCCUGGAUCCCAGGCGAGCAUUACCACCCCUCCCCACCGGCCUCGCGGGGCAGGAAGGCGCUGAGCAGGAAUGCCACAAGAUAGAGACCACUGUGAGGUUCCUGUUAAUGAUGAAGACAUCAGCACACAGAGCAGGACUACAAAUCUCCUUCCCGGCGCUGGAGAGAUGGCUCAGCGGUGAAGAGCUCUUUCAGAGGACCUGAGUUCAAUCCCCAGCACCCACAGAGCAGCCCACAACUGUCUGUGACUCCAGUUCCAGGGAAUCUGACAACCCAAGACUGACAUACAAGGAGGCA
Molecule: long non-coding RNA, 474 nt
Organism: Arvicola amphibius (Eurasian water vole)
Lineage: Eukaryota; Metazoa; Chordata; Mammalia; Rodentia; Cricetidae
Exons: 3
Source: RefSeq, a predicted model, not a curated record